This 732-nucleotide ribosomal RNA is filed under the name Triticum aestivum (bread wheat). Its description in RNAcentral is "partial small subunit ribosomal RNA". Lineage: Eukaryota; Viridiplantae; Streptophyta; Magnoliopsida; Poales; Poaceae. The record is from RNAcentral.
AUGCUAGGGAUGGACCAGAUGUUGAUAAGGAACUGUGAAGGAAAGAGUGGUGGACUAGCCCUACUGUCGAAGAAAGAAGUGAAAGUUGAGCUCCAAAAAUUUUCAAGGCUGCAUAUAGAUGUGGUAAUAAACGAAAAGGAUGGUUUCAAAUGGCGGUUCACAGGAAUUUACGGUGAACCUUCAAGUCAUAAAAAGCACACAACCUGGAGACUCUUAACUAUUCUUAACCAGCAGAUGAAUCUUCCUUGGUUAUGUGCUGGAGACUUUAAUGAGAUCAUGUACAACCAUGAAAAGAGAGGAGGUCCUGGCAGGUCACAAAGAGCAAUGGAGUGUUUCAGGCUGGUACUCGCUGAAUGUGGGCUGCGAGACUUGGGUUAUUCAGGUGAUAAAUUUACAUGGCGCGACCACAACCAUAUAGCAAGUCGAUACAUAAAAGAAAGGUUGGACAGGGCAACAGGGAAUCGUAGCUGGUGCAAUGGAUUCCCAAACUACAAAGUCGUAAAUGAGGAUCCGAGACAUUCAGAUCGCCGUCCUGUAACUAUAUUGAUGGAGAGUACAAAUCAUAGACACAAUACAGGAGGGUAUGCCAAAGCUUUUAGAUUUGAAGCCAAAUGGUUGCAAGAGGAGGAUUGCGAGGCAGUCGUGAACAAUGCAUGGGCUAUUGCUGCAGCGCGGGGAGUAAAUAAAGCAGCUGACAAGUUGCAUGCAGUAGCUUGUGAUCUAAAAGAGUGG